This 1087-nucleotide long non-coding RNA is filed under the name Amborella trichopoda. RNAcentral's name for it is "long non-coding RNA (ATRI_LNC003089)". The record is from RNAcentral. Lineage: Eukaryota; Viridiplantae; Streptophyta; Magnoliopsida; Amborellales; Amborellaceae.
CUCUCUCUCUCUCUCUCUCUCUCUCUCUCUCUCUCUCUCUCUCUCUAUAGCUAGGCAUGUGAAGGAGGAUGCCGAUUCCCAAUUGGGUUGGGUCCAGAAGGAACUUUGUGUAACCUUCGUUUGCCGGAGUUCUUGCCGACCUUCCUCCCUUGAGUAGGGGCAUUUGCUCUUUCUUUCUCCUUUGAACAAACAUAGUUAAAACAAGACAAUCAUUUAUAUGUAUAUGCACUUGCACACCCAUUUGUGUUUGCAAGUAAAUUAGUACAGACAUGUCCACGUGUUCAGCGCACACGCAGAGAGAGAGAGAGAGAGAGAGAGAGAGAGAGCUUACUUGGUUGCUAAAGGCAACGGUGACAUUGUUUGCACCGGGGUGAGCCAUCUGAAAUAUGGCAUCGGCUGUAGAGUAGGAAAGAGUUAGAAGGUUAUACUAGUUGCUUCAAGAAAUAAUAUUUGAUUCAAUGAAUUCUGAAGUGAAGGCAAAAGUAACCUGGUUGCAUGGCAUGAACCAUGAAUGUUGUGAGGUUUUGCUGUUGAGAAGCUGCUAGGAGGAGACAAACUAAGAGGAGUUGUCUGAAGCUAUGAAUCCGCUUCAUCUCUCUCUUUUGAUCUCUAAUUCAUGUUUGGGAGCAAUAUGGAGCCUUUUCAAGGAGGUGGGAGAGAAUAUGGAGGCUUUUUAAGGAGGUGAUAACAAGUCACGGGAUAGGGACCUAACCUACCUGCUUAAAUAGUUCCGUUCAUUUCGUUCACUGCUAAGCGAAGGGACAGGGAUUGUAGACUCUAGACUGAGACGUACUGGCGAGAGGGAAGGGAUUCUAGACCCGCUAAUAGACUAGUUGGAGGCAGGAAGAUUUUAGACGCUCUUACAGACUAGGGACAUUGUACCCCACUUAGAGAGUAGGCUUCCCAUGAGCCUAGAUGGAGUGUCUAUGUAUGAGUGAGAGUGAGAGAUUUGGAACUAACUGUCCCAAUAAUCAAAUAUUUGACUUUGCUCAAAUUGCUGCUACAAGUUGGGAAUCCUAUGUAUGUUGAGAGAGAGAUCCAAUACUAUCUUGGGCUCAAAGGCAUAUCAAAUAGGUGCCUGCAUAAG